Molecule: ribosomal RNA, 550 nt
Filed under: Escherichia coli
Lineage: Bacteria; Pseudomonadati; Pseudomonadota; Gammaproteobacteria; Enterobacterales; Enterobacteriaceae
Description: bacterial SSU rRNA
Rfam family: Bacterial small subunit ribosomal RNA
Source: RNAcentral
UUGAAGAGUUUGAUCAUGGCUCAGAUUGAACGCUGGCGGCAGGCCUAACACAUGCAAGUCGAACGGUAACAGGAAACAGCUUGCUGUUUCGCUGACGAGUGGCGGACGGGGGAGUAAUGUCUGGGAAACUGCCUGAUGGAGGGGGAUAACUACUGGAAACGGUAGCUAAUACCGCAUAACGUCGCAAGACCAAAGAGGGGGACCCUCGGGCCUCUUGCCAUCGGAUGUGCCCAGAUGGGAUUAGCUUGUUGGUGGGGUAACGGCUCACCAAGGCGACGAUCCCUAGCUGGUCUGAGAGGAUGACCAGCCACACUGGAACUGAGACACGGUCCAGACUCCUACGGGAGGCAGCAGUGGGGAAUAUUGCACAAUGGGCGCAAGCCUGAUGCAGCCAUGCCGCGUGUAUGAAGAAGGCCUUCGGGUUGUAAAGUACUUUCAGCGGGGAGGAAGGGAGUAAAGUUAAUACCUUUGCUCAUUGACGUUACCCGCAGAAGAAGCACCGGCUAACUCCGUGCCAGCAGCCGCGGUAAUACGGAGGGUGCAAGCGUUA